RNAcentral lists this ribosomal RNA (1410 nucleotides) under uncultured archaeon. RNAcentral describes it as "bacterial SSU rRNA". It matches the Rfam family "Archaeal small subunit ribosomal RNA". The record is from RNAcentral.
AGGCCACUGCUAUCGGGGUCCGACUAAGCCAUGCGAGUCAAGGGGCUCCCUUCGGGGAGCACCGGCGCACGGCUCAGUAACACGUGGCUAACCUACCCUCGGGUGGGGGAUAACCUCGGGAAACUGAGGCUAAUCCCCCAUAGGGGAGGAGGUCUGGAAUGAUCCCUCCCCGAAAGGCGUAAGCCGCCCGAGGAUGGGGCUGCGGCGGAUUAGGUAGUUGGUGGGGUAACGGCCCACCAAGCCUACGAUCCGUACGGGCCCUGAGAGGGGGAGCCCGGAGAUGGACACUGAGACACGGGUCCAGGCCCUACGGGGCGCAGCAGGCGCGAAACCUCCGCAAUGCGCGAAAGCGCGACGGGGGGACCCCGAGUGCCAUCCCCUUGGGAUGGCUUUUCCGGAGUGUAAACAGCUCCGGGAAUAAGGGCUGGGCAAGUCCGGUGCCAGCAGCCGCGGUAAUACCGGCGGCCCAAGUGGUGGCCACUGUUAUUGGGCCUAAAGCGUCCGUAGCCGGCCCGGUAAGUCUCUGCUUAAAUCCUGCGGCUCAACCGCAGGGCUGGCAGAGAUACUGCCGGGCUUGGGACCGGGAGAGGCCGGGGGUACCCCAGGGGUAGCGGUGAAAUGCGUUGAUCCCUGGGGGACCACCUGUGGCGAAGGCGCCCGGCUGGAACGGGUCCGACGGUGAGGGACGAAGGCCGGGGGAGCAAACCGGAUUAGAUACCCGGGUAGUCCCGGCUGUAAACUCUGCGGACUAGGUGUCGCGUCGGCUUCGGGCCGACGCGGUGCCGAAGGGAAGCCGUUAAGUCCGCCGCCUGGGGAGUACGGUCGCAAGACUGAAACUUAAAGGAAUUGGCGGGGGAGCACUACAACGGGUGGAGCCUGCGGUUUAAUUGGAUUCAACGCCGGGCAUCUUACCAGGGGCGACGGCAGGAUGAAGGCCAGGUUGACGACCUUGCCAGACGCGCCGAGAGGUGGUGCAUGGCCGUCGUCAGCUCGUACCGUGAGGCGUCCUGUUAAGUCAGGUAACGAGCGAGACCCGUGCCCCAUGUUGCUACCCUCCCCUCCGGGGGAGGGGCACUCAUGGGGGACCGCCGGCGCAAAGCCGGAGGAAGGUGCGGGCAACGACAGGUCCGCAUGCCCCGAAUCCCCUGGGCUACACGCGGGCUACAAUGGCCGGGACAAUGGGACGCGACCCCGAAAGGGGGAGCGAAUCCCCUAAACCCGGUCGUAGUCCGGAUCGAGGGCUGUAACUCGCCCUCGUGAAGCCGGAAUCCGUAGUAAUCGCGCCUCACCAUGGCGCGGUGAAUGCGUCCCUGCUCCUUGCACACACCGCCCGUCACGCCACCCGAGUUGAGCCCAAGUGAGGCCCUGUCCGCAAGGGCAGGGUCGAACUUGGGUUCAGCGAGGGGGGCG